RNAcentral lists this long non-coding RNA (761 nucleotides) under Olea europaea subsp. europaea. Lineage: Eukaryota; Viridiplantae; Streptophyta; Magnoliopsida; Lamiales; Oleaceae. The record is from RNAcentral.
UGACCUUUUUUCUACCUACAGAUUCGAAAUGAGAAGGCACGAAGAUAUUUAAGUAGCGUGAAAAGGAAAGCACCUGUUCCUCUCUCACAAAAGUUUCCAAAUGUUGAUCCACUGGCUCUUCGUUUACUUGAACGUUUGAUAGCAUUUGAUCCCAAAGAUCGUCCAUCUGCUGAAGAGGUGAGAUUUAGUAAAUCAAAUAUGUUGUUUCACAUUUCCUUCAGUUGAUAAAUGCAAUAUCAGUAUUUAGGACGGGUUCAUUGAUACUAUCAAUUAUUUCUAACUGCAGGCAUUGGCAGAUCCAUAUUUUUAUGGUUUGGCAAAUGUCAAAGAUGAAUCAUCAACUCAACCAAUUUCAAAAUUUGAGUUUGAAUUUGAAAGGAGAAAUUUAACAAAAGAUGAUGUAAGAGAGCUAAUCUACAGGGCGGUAUGAACAUUGCUAGUGAUCUUUAGGCCAAUAUGGUAUAUCUGUGUUAGCUGUUAGCUAUUACUUACAUUGUAUCUUAACGAAGCAAACAGAUCUUGGAGUAUCAUCCCCAGAUGCUCCAGGAAUACCUCCGUGGCGUGGACCAGACUCACUUUAUGUAUCCAAGGUUUGACAAUCAAAAGAAUUCUCCUCAACUUCUAGUUUGAUACAAGACAUUUUUGAGACGUUGCUUAAUCAAAUACAACAUAAAUUUUCUGUUCUCAUUUUUCUAAUGUAUCCAUUUAUAACUAAUCAAUAUAUCUUUUUCACCAAAUCUCCAAUACUUUUUCGAUCCAAG